This 254-nucleotide ribosomal RNA is filed under the name uncultured bacterium. Its description in RNAcentral is "partial 16S ribosomal RNA". It matches the Rfam family "Bacterial small subunit ribosomal RNA", at positions 524 to 777 of the family's 1533-position model. The record is from RNAcentral.
GACGAACCGUCCAAACGUUAUUCGGAAUCACUGGGCUUACAGAGUUCGUAGGCGGUCUGGAAAGUUGGGUGUGAAAUCCCUCGGCCUAACCGAGGAACUGCGCUUGAAACUACCAGACUCGAGGGGGAUAGAGGAAAGCGGAACUGAUGGUGGAGCGGUGAAAUGCGUUGAUAUCAUCAGGAACACCGGUGGCGAAGGCGGCUUUCUGGGUCUUACCUGACGCUGAGGAACGAAAGCCAGGGGAGCGAAGCGGG